CCGAGAACCUUCUAGAGCCACAUAACUCACCACGCACUAUUGACCUGAGCUCUAGAACAGGUUUCCUAAGUUUCAGAACUCUAGGUCUGAUGGUUCUUUAAUAGUUUCAACAAAGGUAACUAUUGCAGGCUCUGUUUGUCUCUACGCACCACACUGUGUCCCUCCGUCCAAGCUGUGUGUGUGUGUGUGAGUUUUUCUUGGAAAUCUUAUUCGAGACAUGACUUAUUUACAGUUCAUGAGGGUUGCCUAAUCGCACAUAUGAAGUUUUGGAAAGAUCUGACUUUUUUAACCCUUCGAAACAGCCCCUAUGACACCAAUUAUGGCACUUCCGGUUGGCACAGGAAGCGAAAAGUAAAAAUAUCCUCAUUGGGGUAUGCUUUUACAGAAUCCUGUGUUAUAAGUCUUUGCGUUAAGAACUGACUGAUUUACACAGGGUUGAAUUCACUAUUUCUAUCAAACAUCAGGUUGGGUAUGGAAAAACACUUUUAGGGUGAUUUUAACCACUUCCAGUUGCUCCAGGAAGCUUAGAAUCGACACAGGUAGACCUCAUAGUGGCCUGAUGGAUUGUCAUCGAAGACCGGUUCAUAAGACAUUCAUAACCCACAUAGGCUUCAGGUUGAAUUUAGGGGUGCAGGCAAUGUAUUCCUAUGGGUAGAGAAGUCAUUGAAAACUGUUUGGUGAAAAAAAACUGUUUUAACUGUUAAGGGUUAAUGCCACACGGUCAAGUUUAGGCUUGCACAGAUCGGGAGGACCUUAGGAACAUUCCUGUGGUUGAAUUGUCCUUCUAAACCUAACGGUUCCGCCGCUGUCACCCAAAAGCAAAUGACGUUGUGUGGCAUGGUCGCUGCGCUUAGACCGAGUGAGCUACGGUCAAGCGGGGCAUCUCGUUGAAUUCGGCACGGCCUAGAGAUUAUGAUGACAUUGCAGGCUCUGAGUUUCUUUCAGCACUGCACUUUGUCAGUCCAUCCUUGCUGUGUGUGUGUGUGUGAGAGAGAGAGAGCUUUUCUUUGACAUCUGUAUUCUAGGUGAUGUAGUGGUGUAAUAAUGUGUUGUAUUGUAGGUGAUGUAUUGGUGUAAUAAUGUGUUGUAUUGUAGAUAUGUAGUGGUGUAAUAAUGUGUUGUAUUCUAGGUGAUGUGGUGGUGUAAUAAUGUGUUGUAUUGUAGGUGAUGUAUUGGUGUAAUAAUGUGUUGUAUUGUAGAUAUGUAGUGGUGUAAUAAUGUGUUGUAUUCUAGGUGAUGUAGUGGUGUAAUAAUGUGAUGUAGUGGUGUAAUAAUGUGUUGUAUUGUAGGUGAUGUAGUGGUGUUGUAUUGUAGGUGAUGUAGUGGUGUAAUAAUGUGUUGUAUUGUAUGUGAUGUAGUGGUGUAAUAAUGUGAUGUAUUGUAUGUGAUGUAGUGGUGUAAUAAUGUGUUGUAUUGUAGGUGAUGUAGUGGUGUUGUAUUGUAGGUGAUGUAGUGGUGUAAUAAUGUGUUGUAUUGUAGGUGAUGUAGUGGUGUAAUAAUGUGAUGUAUUGUAUGUGAUGUAGUGGUGUAAUAAUGUGUUGUAUUGUAGGUGAUGUAGUGGUGUUGUAUUGUAGGUGAUGUAGUGGUGUAAUAAUGUGUUGUAUAUGUGAUGUAGUGGUGUAAUAAUGUGCCUUAAGGCUCAGAACAUUCUUAGUCAAAGGUCAGGAAUUAACAGUGACCCAUUAAGCCAUGCAGAGACAUUCUCCAUCAGCAUGCCAGCUUUCCAUGUCAAAUUUGUCCUCAUUCAGUGCUGCCAGACAAAAAUGCAUCCAGUUACACGUUUUUUGAUGUUGUGGCUAUUGUAAUCGACUCUAAGGCAAGUGGGCUCAGACACUGAAAACGGUAUGUUUUUCCAGGCAAAGGUUCCUCUCUGGAUUGUAUAUAUACAGCUCUUGCGAUUAUUUUAGGGGAUGUGACAAAUGUAAAAAUGUCCUUAAGGUUUAACCAGACUUUUUUCUCUCUCAUUUAAUCAUUUGUAAUAAAAUCAUAGGAUAACGUGAAUUCAAAAUUCAGAUACGAUCGCCUAUGACCACUAGGGGGCAAUUCAUUUCAAUGUACCGUUGUCUCGACCACCUACCAGCUAGAUGGCGCUCACCUUACUGCUGUCCCCGACCCACUCAGCAACAAUGGUAUUAAUGCCGAUUUAGGUUCUCUGUUGUGUUCCUUUCCUCCAUGUUCUCAGUGGUCAGUACUUCUCAUCAAGGUAUCAAGGUCGUUGCAGUGAUGUAUGACAGCGUGUUCAUAACAAUCUGUUGUUAACGCGCUUUGUACUUGCAGAGCAAUCAUUGUACAAUUUCUCCAUCUGGGCCAUCACAGUCUUGUAGUCUGGUUCUAGAUAUGCCAUCAGGUUAUUGAAGCCGACGUCUAUCCGCAUAACAACUGCAAUCAUGUAAUCAGCUCUGUGGUUUUUCUCACUCUUUUUUUUCUAUUUUUCCGGGCAAGUCAGUUAAGAACUAAUUCUUAUUUACAAUGACGGCCUUGGAACAGUGGGUUACCUUGUUCAGGGGCAGAACGACAGAUGUUUACGUUGUCAGCUCGGGGAUUCGAUCUUGCAAACUUUCGGUUACUAAUCCAACGCUCUAACCACUAGGCUACCCUGCCACCCCAAAGCUCUAACCACCAGGCUACCCUGCCACCCCAACGCUCUAACCACUAGGCUACCUGCCGCCCCAACGCUCUAACCACUAGGCUACCUGCCGCCCCAACGCUCUAACCACUAGGCUACCUGCCGCCCCAACGCUCUAACCACUAGGCUACCCUGCCACCCC
Molecule: long non-coding RNA, 2768 nt
Organism: Oncorhynchus tshawytscha (Chinook salmon)
Lineage: Eukaryota; Metazoa; Chordata; Actinopteri; Salmoniformes; Salmonidae
Source: Ensembl